CAGAUUAUAGCUUAUAUAUUAAAGCUUUUUAUUUACAUUAAUAGGAAAACUUAUAGUUUAUUCUGA
RNAcentral lists this transfer RNA (66 nucleotides) under Nephotettix virescens. Its description in RNAcentral is "tRNA-Val". Lineage: Eukaryota; Metazoa; Arthropoda; Insecta; Hemiptera; Cicadellidae. The record is from RNAcentral.